GCAUGCUGGAAUAGAGAAAAAUGGAACGUUGACGGAAAGGAGAGCCAAAAAUGGACGAGGUAGCGAAGCGAUCUUUCCACGAUUCUCUCUAUAACUAUACAUAAGUUACCGCUUUUAAAAACUACAGCAGUGAGCCAAGUUUUAAUCGUUGGUUGUGCAUAGAACGGAAAUAAUUGAUAGCAGGUUUGUAAAAGGGUGACCGAUAAUGAGGUUUUUUUACUUUGGCUCCUUACCUAAACAGCACAAGAUGAAUUUAAAGAGCGUGAGUAAGUACGACUGGUAGAUGUGCUGACUCAAGUUUAGCUGGUGGAGCAAACCGACCUCGGGUGUAAUGCCAACCAGCGAACCAACAAUGGAAUCAGGAACGCUGACGACUUUGAAUUCAUUGUUGACGUCUUCAAGGACUAUGUUUUCGCCGGGCAAGCCAAGGCCGAUCCUGAGCAGUUCGUCGAUAAUGAAAAGCGGCGGAACCCUCAUAACGACAUCGGCGAAAUUAAGCGCCUUAUUUCUAAUGGUGGUCAACAUAUUUUCCAAAUCUUUAAGGACGUCAGAAAGGUCGACUAUUUUGCACUUUCUCUUUCCUUGGAUUAUUAAUCGAGGUUACAAAACACGCUGCAGUUCUCAGCCUGCCUGCCAGCCAGCAACACCAGCUGCGCAUCACCAACCAACCAGCAGGUCUUGACUUUUUAAACUACAUGCUAUGCAGCAACAGAUGGAGC
Long non-coding RNA from Neodiprion virginianus, 719 nucleotides. RefSeq lists it as uncharacterized. The record is from RefSeq and is a predicted model, not a curated record. The transcript has 3 exons. Lineage: Eukaryota; Metazoa; Arthropoda; Insecta; Hymenoptera; Diprionidae.